Molecule: ribosomal RNA, 492 nt
Filed under: uncultured bacterium
Lineage: Bacteria
Description: partial 16S ribosomal RNA
Rfam family: Bacterial small subunit ribosomal RNA
Source: RNAcentral
AGUGAACGCUGGCGGUAGGCCUAACACAUGCAAGUCGAACGGCAGCACAGUAAGAGCUUGCUCUUACGGGUGGCGAGUGGCGGACGGGUGAGGAAUACAUCGGAAUCUACUUUUUCGUGGGGGAUAACGUAGGGAAACUUACGCUAAUACCGCAUACGACCUACGGGUGAAAGCAGGGGAUCUUCGGACCUUGCGCGAUUGAAUGAGCCGAUGUCGGAUUAGCUAGUUGGCGGGGUAAAGGCCCACCAAGGCCACGAUCCGUAGCUGGUCUGAGAGGAUGAUCAGCCACCCUGGAACUGAGACACGGUCCAGGCUCCUACGGGAGGCAGCAGUGGGGAAUAUUGGACAAUGGGCGCAAGCCUGAUCCAGCCAUACCGCGUGGGUGAAGAAGGCCUUCGGGUUGUAAAGCCCUUUUGUUGGGAAAGAAAAGCAGCAGGUUAAUACCCCGCUGUUCUGACGGUACCCAAAGAAUAAGCACCGGCUAACUUCGUG